RNAcentral lists this ribosomal RNA (739 nucleotides) under Priestia megaterium. RNAcentral describes it as "bacterial SSU rRNA". It matches the Rfam family "Bacterial small subunit ribosomal RNA", at positions 80 to 805 of the family's 1533-position model. The record is from RNAcentral. Lineage: Bacteria; Bacillati; Bacillota; Bacilli; Caryophanales; Bacillaceae.
GCUUCUAUGACGUUAGCGGCGGACGGGUGAGUAACACGUGGGCAACCUGCCUGUAAGACUGGGAUAACUUCGGGAAACCGAAGCUAAUACCGGAUAGGAUCUUCUCCUUCAUGGGAGAUGAUUGAAAGAUGGUUUCGGCUAUCACUUACAGAUGGGCCCGCGGUGCAUUAGCUAGUUGGUGAGGUAACGGCUCACCAAGGCAACGAUGCAUAGCCGACCUGAGAGGGUGAUCGGCCACACUGGGACUGAGACACGGCCCAGACUCCUACGGGAGGCAGCAGUAGGGAAUCUUCCGCAAUGGACGAAAGUCUGACGGAGCAACGCCGCGUGAGUGAUGAAGGCUUUCGGGUCGUAAAACUCUGUUGUUAGGGAAGAACAAGUACAAGAGUAACUGCUUGUACCUUGACGGUACCUAACCAGAAAGCCACGGCUAACUACGUGCCAGCAGCCGCGGUAAUACGUAGGUGGCAAGCGUUAUCCGGAAUUAUUGGGCGUAAAGCGCGCGCAGGCGGUUUCUUAAGUCUGAUGUGAAAGCCCACGGCUCAACCGUGGAGGGUCAUUGGAAACUGGGGAACUUGAGUGCAGAAGAGAAAAGCGGAAUUCCACGUGUAGCGGUGAAAUGCGUAGAGAUGUGGAGGAACACCAGUGGCGAAGGCGGCUUUUUGGUCUGUAACUGACGCUGAGGCGCGAAAGCGUGGGGGAGCAACAGGAUUAGAUACCCUGGUAGUCCACGCCGUAA